CGUUCCCGGACCUUGUACACACCGCCCGUCAAGCCAUGGAAGCUGGGAGGGCCUGAAGGCAGUUGCUGCAAGGCGCUGUUUAGGGUAAAACCGGUGACUGGGCU
RNAcentral lists this ribosomal RNA (104 nucleotides) under uncultured bacterium. RNAcentral describes it as "partial 16S ribosomal RNA". The record is from RNAcentral.